CACGUAGGCACCAAGCGUUGUCCGGAUUUAUUGGGCGUAAAGAGCUCGUAGGCGGUUCAGUAAGUCAGGUGUGAAAUCUGGGGGCUCAACCCCCAGCCUGCAGUGGGUACGGGCAGACUAGAGUGCGGUAGGGGAGAUUGGAAUUCCUGGUGUAGCGGUGGAAUGCGCAGAUAUCAGGAGGAACACCGAUGGCGAAGGCAGAUCUCUGGGCCGUAACUGACGCUGAGGAGCGAAAGCGUGGGGAGCGAACAGG
This 253-nucleotide ribosomal RNA is filed under the name uncultured bacterium. RNAcentral describes it as "partial 16S ribosomal RNA". It matches the Rfam family "Bacterial small subunit ribosomal RNA", at positions 524 to 776 of the family's 1533-position model. The record is from RNAcentral.